UACAGAGGUCCCCAAGCGUUGUUCGGAUUCACUGGGCGUAAAGGGUGCGUAGGCGGUGGGGUAAGUCUGGUGUGAAAGCUCGGAGCUCAACUCCGAAAUGUCAUCGGAAACUACUUCACUGGAGGUUUGGAGGGGGGACUGGAAUUCUCGGUGUAGCAGUGAAAUGCGUAGAUAUCGAGAGGAACACCAGUGGCGAAGGCGAGUCCCUGGACAAAUCCUGACGCUGAGGCACGAAAGCUAGGGGAGCAAACAGGAUUAGAAACCCCAGUAGU
RNAcentral lists this ribosomal RNA (272 nucleotides) under uncultured bacterium. RNAcentral's name for it is "partial 16S ribosomal RNA". It matches the Rfam family "Bacterial small subunit ribosomal RNA", at positions 524 to 794 of the family's 1533-position model. The record is from RNAcentral.